This is a non-coding RNA of Pocillopora verrucosa, 238 nucleotides long. NCBI's taxonomy places the organism in Eukaryota, Metazoa, Cnidaria, Anthozoa, Scleractinia, Pocilloporidae. The record is from RefSeq and is a predicted model, not a curated record.
CAUCAUUACAGCAUCAAGACACCUUGUUCUAGUUUCCCGUGUCAAAACAGUGCAACUUGUGUUCCAAGUUACGAUGAAAACAGUUACCGCUGUGAUUGUAAACCGGGUUACACAGGAAAAUAUUGCGAAACUGAUAUCAGCGUAUGUUCCAUGGCCAGUGAUCCCUGUUUAAAUGGAGGGACGUGUGUUGCUGGGGCUCUUGGACAUCCGCUUUGUAAUUGUCGGCCUGGAUACGGAG